Molecule: unclassified non-coding RNA, 333 nt
Filed under: soil metagenome
Description: partial contains 5.8S ribosomal RNA, internal transcribed spacer 2, and large subunit ribosomal RNA
Rfam family: 5.8S ribosomal RNA (bases 1-120)
Source: RNAcentral
GAUGAAGAACGUAGCGAAAUGCGAUAAGUAGUGUGAAUUGCAGAAUUCAGUGAAUCAUCGAAUCUUUGAACGCACAUUGCGCCCCUUGGUAUUCCAUGGGGCAUGCCUGUUCGAGCGUCAUUUGUACCUUCAAGCUUUGCUUGGUGUUGGGUGUUUGUCCAUUCUCUUGCAGAGGGACUCGCCUUAAAGUAAUUGGCAGCCAGUGUUUUGGUUUUGAAGCGCAGCACAAGUCGCGAUUCAAAGCUAUACGCCCGCUUCCACAAGCCUUUUUCACUUUUGACCUCGGAUCAGGUAGGGAUACCCGCUGAACUUAAGCAUAUCAUAAGCGGAGGA